Molecule: long non-coding RNA, 318 nt
Organism: Gambusia affinis (western mosquitofish)
Lineage: Eukaryota; Metazoa; Chordata; Actinopteri; Cyprinodontiformes; Poeciliidae
Exons: 3
Source: RefSeq, a predicted model, not a curated record
UGGGAUGGUGUUCCACCCUCCCAACUACACACACCAGGUGUAGCGACUGAUUGGUGGGCGGGGCAGAUAGCUUUAAAGCUGAGCAGUCCGCUGCGAGGUGCAUGUGCCUUGUUUCCUUGCUGUAUGUUGGCUGCCCAAGUGGCUGGUGUGCUCGAUCCACUCAUCCAAAAUACGUUGCGCAGCUGGCGUUGGCGGCUGCAGUUGGAGGUUGGUGCGGCGAGCGGCUUCCAUCCAGCCCUCGCCUGCUGAUCCGCUCCCUCCCUGGUCGGCUGUGUCACCACAUCUGGGAUUCUUCCAGAGUUGCAGCGCUUGGACUCC